This is a long non-coding RNA of Patella vulgata (common limpet), 2105 nucleotides long. RefSeq lists it as uncharacterized. The record is from RefSeq and is a predicted model, not a curated record. Lineage: Eukaryota; Metazoa; Mollusca; Gastropoda; Patellidae. The transcript is spliced from 6 exons.
GAAAUGUAUAUCCAGACAUGGACUAUAGCUAGAUACUAACUUUUGUGUUAGUUGUUUAGUUGAAAUGUAAUCUUAUUUCUGUAAAAGAAAAAAACAACAACAAACAAAUCAGCCUUUUUUUUAUAUCAAUGUCAUCAAUGUGUAGGCCUAAUAUUAGACUUUCAAUGAUUCAGAAGUUUCUCUACAGUUUCGUUAUUUUUUUUUCCAGUCAUUGAUGUUAGCAUGUACUACACAAAGAAAAACAGGCAAAGCAUGAAGCCAAAGGAAAUGUUUUUACCAAGGCAUGUUCCUCAAUAGCGGAGAGAGUUUUAUCCAGUGUCGGUUCUGCAGAAGAACCCAUUCAUAGCAGACCACCCAUUGCAGCACUUGUAAGGUCGCUAUAAAGAACCCGACAGACUCUGCGACCAAAAGAUCCCACUGACGUGUCGUCAAGCCUUGACGAAGAUUUAAUCGAUCAUAGUGCACCGGGAUUUUAUCAAAAAAGAGUAAAAGUUGGGGAAAGGCGCCAUCACAUGUUUUGUACUGAUAGACAGAUGCAACUACUCGCACGCGCAAAAACUUGGUAUAUGGAUGCAACUUUUCGGGUGGUGAACAAGCCAUGGUCUCAGCUGUUUUCCAUCCACGCCUUCAUUAAGACUGGAGAGACCACCCGACAGUUACCAUUGGUGUUUUGUGUAAUGUCGGGUAAAAGCCAAGACGACUAUUAUAAGUUUCCAUAUUAGAUGCCAUAGCAAAUCAAAGAUCAUAUAAUAAAAUAAGUCAAAAAACCCAAAUAUGGAAAAAGAAAGAGCUGAAGAAAUGGUGAUUUGAGCACCUAUGCUUUCUCAUAGGUGUUUUUGGAGGUUAACUACAUCAGAAAGAUCAAGAAAGUUGGAAAUGGCUAUUCAUAUUAUGGAAACUUUUUCCCACAGAGCUUGAUAAUCAGGUAAAAUGCUGGAAGAUUAUUUGAUGUAUGAUAACAACAAGAGAUCCCAAGCAUCAAUUUAUUUUAUAAUUCUGGAAAAGAAUGCAUUUGACCCAAUUUUUGAAUAUUUUUUUUUGUUUUUACUGUUAAAUAUUCAUCCCAAACACAAUUAGAUUUUAAUUCUCUACAGAAAUUUAUGUAUAAUAUAGAAUGUAAAGUGACAUAUAAAUCACUUAGAAUUUGGUCGGAAAUCAUAAAGUAUUUAAUAGGCAUAAUCUAGAAACCAAAUGUAGAUCAAAUAUACCCAGAAUUACAAAAAACCUUGACCUACAUUAAGGUGACUUUCCCUUGCUUAUGAAAUGAAAUAGGGUUUAAUAUCCUACUUUUCUGUGUUAUUAUGGUGAUUCUGCCCUACAACCUACUCUUAUAUCAAAUAUUUCAACUGUCAAGGGUUGUUUAAAGGGAACCUAGGAGGGCCGAAUGGUUAACACACGCACAUUGGAUCAGAAGGGUCUGUCAUUGAGUCAGAUAAUUCAAUUGUCAAGGGUUCUUUAAAGUAAACGCAGUGGGGGUAGUUUCAAUUCUGGGCUUAUACCCAAUUAUCCCUUGCCAUGUCCUACACUACUGACGUGUGGGAACUAUGUCGGAACUAUGUCCAGUUGAAAUUUCUCGGCCAAUGCACUCACUGAACCACAGUGGCUCCUCCUUGCUUUUGACUUGUGAUUAUUUAUAUAUAUUUUGUACAUAUUAUUUAAUGUUUGCGAUUUUCUCUGAUAUUUUUUUAUUUUUCAAUCCUGUAAUCUUGAUGCUUUGCUCCUUUUAUGUAAAAAAUAUUCAUUUUGUUUGUUGUUUUUUUUUUAAUGAGGAAAAGGUUCUACAUCAUUUUAUUACUCCUGCAAAAUAGUGCAUUUUUCUUUUGUUAGUUUUCUGUGUAUGCUAGUUAUUUCUAGAUGCCCCACAAAUCACUUGUAAUAUGACUUUGUAGCACUUUUCAGUUUCUGAAAGUAUUUCAAUUUAGUGCAUAAUUAAUCUAAUUAGGGCUUGGUUUGGAUGUUAUUAAAUUUAGAUAUAUUUGAAUUAUAUAUUUUUGGGGUAUGGGGUAGGGAUCUUUCUUUUCUCAGUUCUUGUUUUCGGGUAAAGAAAAAAUUAAAUAGCUAUUUUGUAUUUUGUGAUGUGGGGGGAGGGGGGCAACGUAUAACAC